This 894-nucleotide ribosomal RNA is filed under the name Triticum aestivum (bread wheat). RNAcentral's name for it is "partial small subunit ribosomal RNA". Lineage: Eukaryota; Viridiplantae; Streptophyta; Magnoliopsida; Poales; Poaceae. The record is from RNAcentral.
AUGAAAGAAAAUACAUAUGUUAGUGUGACCAUUCUCUUAGCAUGUCUUAUUCUAGCCCUCGGAGGAAAAGAAGUUAAGUGUAUAAGACGGGACAAAAAUACUAGCGGGGUCCCUUUGAAUCAAAAAGUCAAUACUACUAUUGUGGUUGACAGAGGAGAUGUCUAUGACUGCAUCGAUGUGAACCUACAACCAGCCUUUAGCCAUCCACUACUAAAACACCACAAAAUCCAGAUGGAACCAAGCUCUUUCCCACAGAGUAUUCCUACCAAAUCCCCGUCGAUUCAUGCCAGUCCACCAACCCAAUUGUCUUUGAUUGAGUGCCCUACAGGAACAAUUCCAAUAUUGCGCAACAACAGAAGGGUCCACAAGCUAGUACGAGCUAUUGGCAAAGUGAUUAGCAAGAAUGAACAACAUGAGGUUGCAGGAUUUGAGUAUCUAGAUGUGCUAUACGGAACGCGGGCUAAAAUAAAUAUCUAUGAACCUAAGGUGAAGAAUACUAGUAAGGAUCUAAGUGCAUCAUGGAUACAAAUUAAAGGGAUACAAAGAGUAGGCCUUGCAGAUGGGAUAGGUGCUGGUUCUUGGGUAUAUCCAAGCUACAGUGGUGACAGCCUUGCUAGGUUUCACGUUGCUUGGGUUGAUGGCUUAAAGAACACAAUUUUCCCUGAUCAUGAUUGUGGCGCUUUCGUACAAGUUAGCUCAAUUGUUGGUCUAGGAGGAAGACUUAAACCAGUUUCUAUCUAUGGCGGACCACAAUACAUCAUAGAUGUUGCCAUUUUCAAGGACCCGCUGACUAAAAAUUGGUGGGUGUCUUACGGUGAACAAAACAUACAUAUUGGAUAUUGGCCAAAGGAAAUUUUCCAUUUCAUGAAGGAUCAAUGUAAUUAUGCAUUAUAG